Molecule: unclassified non-coding RNA, 721 nt
Filed under: Hevea brasiliensis (rubber tree)
Lineage: Eukaryota; Viridiplantae; Streptophyta; Magnoliopsida; Malpighiales; Euphorbiaceae
Source: RNAcentral
UGAACUCAAAGCCAAACUGAAUUUUCUAGUAAUAUCCACUUGAGAAAAGAGGGAAAAAAUACUUCGAAAUUCCCUGGGAAUCGCAAACCUGGGUUUUCAUCAUUCUCACUCCUCCAUAGCAUCACCUCCUUCGAUUAUCUCCACCUUUUCCUUCAAUGGCAUAAUCUUUGUCAGCAGAACCUCCGUUUUCUUGGGGAAGGAAUAACCUUUCGAACUAACGUAUGUUCGAGGAUUCGGCAAGAGGUGAUUUCUCAGAUAAUCCUUUUGGCCCUUGGUAAUAACACAAACAUCGACGUUACUUCCACUCCCCAAAUCAUUAAAUAUCCCAGAACAUAUCGCCUCAGUUACAAGACGAAUCCCUUCAUCCCUAGUCAGGCCUUCUUUGUACUUUGAUUCAAAUACAGACAUUGCAGCUAGGGAACCCGAUCCCAUUGUAGCAAAUGGCAAGGUGUCAGUGGAUCCAUGAGGAUAGAUAGUAUGUAAAUGAGGUCCAGUGACAUCAACCCCACCAAGCACCAAAGCGGCUGAAACAUAACCUCGAUAACCAAAAAGGUGUUUCUUGAGAAGGGUCAGCGCAGUAACAACUCUUGAUUCUCGACCAGUGUGGUAGCGAUGCAAUUGCAAUUGGGAGCUAACCAUAUCAGUUACUGCCUCUGUAUCAGCAGCAGUUCCUGCUCCACAACAAUAUAUGUUUGGUGCCAUGUAAUGAAUUUUCUCACAG